Molecule: long non-coding RNA, 92 nt
Organism: Ipomoea nil (Japanese morning glory)
Lineage: Eukaryota; Viridiplantae; Streptophyta; Magnoliopsida; Solanales; Convolvulaceae
Exons: 3
Source: RefSeq, a predicted model, not a curated record
AAUCAUGUUUAUUAAACCAAAUAAAGUUAAACGCACUAUUCUAAAAAGUAUUUUGCCCACAACUAUCGAACUUAUCUAUUUUGUUCAUGGAG